AUUCUCUACUAAUUUCUUAACAUGUUAUAGAUACAAAUCCAUUUUAGUCAUCUCUUUGGAAUCAGAAGAUUCCAGGAGAAAUUAAGUAGUUCUAAGAGUAGAUAGACUUGAUAUUUUUAAAAAUACUAAUUUUUAAUUUCUAUUCGAGUUAACAUAUAUUACAAUGAUGAUCUCAGGAGUAGAAUCCAGUGAUUUAUCCCCUAUAUAUAACACACAGUGCUCAUCCUAACAAUUGUCUUCCCUAAUGCCCAUCACCCAUUUAGCCCAUCCCCCCUUCCAUAGCCUCUCCAGCAGCUCUCAGUUCUCUAUAUUUGUCUCUUAUGUUUUGUCCCCCUCCUUGUUUUUAUAUUAUUUUUGCUUCCCUUCCCUUAUGUUCAUCUGUUUUGUAUCUUAAAUUCCACAUAUGAGUGAAGUCAUAUGAUACUUGUCUUUCUCUGACUAAUUUUGCUUAGCAUAAUACAUUAGUUCCAUCCAUGUUGUUGCAGGUGGCAAGAUUUCAUUCUUUUUCAUUGGUGGGUAAUACUUCAUUGUAUAUAUAUACUACAUCUUUAUCCAUUCAUCUGUCGAUGGACAUUUGGGCUCUUUCCAUACUUUGGUUAUUGUCGGUAGUGCUACUAUAAACAUUGGGGUGCAUGUGCCCCUUUGAAACAGCACACCUGUAUCCUUUGGAUAAAUAGCCAGUAGUGCAAUUGCUGGGUCGUCAGGUAGUUCUCUAUUUUAAAUUUUUUGAGGAACCUCCAUACUGUUUUCCAGAGUGGCUGCACCAGUUUGCAUUCUCACCAGCAGUGCAAAAGGGUUCCUCUUUCUCUGCAUCCUCGCCAACAUCUGUCGUUGCCUGAGUUGUCAAUUUUUAGCUAUUCUGAUGGGUGUGAUAUAGUAUCUCAUUGUGGUUUUAAUUGGUAUUUCCCUGAUGAUGAGUGAUGUUGAGCAUUUUUCCAUGUCUCUUCAUGUCUUUUGCUCAUUUCUUCACUGGAUUAUUUGUUUUUUGGGUGUUUGAUAAGUUCUUUAUAGAUUUUGGAUACUAACCCUUUAUCUGAUAUGUCAUUUGCAAAUAUCUUCUCCCAUUCUGUCAGUUGCCUUUUAGUUUUGCUGAUUGUUUCCUUUGCUGUGCAGAAGCUUUUUAUCUUGAUGAGGUCCCAGUAGUACAUUUUUGCUUUUGUUUCCCUUGCCUCCUGAGACAUGUUGAGUUAGAAGUUACUGCAUCCAAGGUCAAAGAGGUUUUUGUCUGCAUUCUCGAGGAUUUUGAUGGCUUCCUGUCUUAUGUUUGGGUCUUCCAUCCCUUUUGAGUUUAGUUUUGUGUAUGAUGUAAGUAAGUGGUUCAGGUUCAGUCUUUUGCAUGUUGCUGUACAGUUUUCCCAACAGCAUUUGCUGAAGAGACUGUCUUUAUUCCAUCGGAUAUUCUUUCCUGCUUUGUCAAAGAUUAGUUGGCCGUACGUUUGUGGGUCCAUUUCUGGGUUCUCUAUUCUGUUCCAUCGAUCUAAGUUCUGUUUUUGGUCAGUACCAUACUGUCUUGAUGAUUACAGCUUUGUAGUACAUCUUGAAGUCCAGAAUUGUGAUGCCUCCAGCUUUAGUUUUCUUUUUCAAGAUUGCUUUGUCUAUUUGGGGUCUUUUCUGGUUCCAGACAAAUUUUAGGAUUGUUCUAGCUCUGUGAAGAAUGCCGGUGUUAUUUUGCUAGGGAUUGCAUUGAAUAUGUAGAUUGCUUUGGGUAGUAUCAGUAUUUUAACAAUAUUUGUUCUCCCAGUCCAUGAGUAUGGAAUAUUUUUCCUUUUACUGUGUGUCUUCUUCAAUUUCUUUCAUAAGCUUUCUAUAGUUUUCAGUGUAUAGAUUUUUCAUUUCUUUGGUUAGGUUUAUUCCUAGGUAUUUUAUGGUUUUUGGUGCAAUUAUAUAUAAAUGGGAUUGAGUCCUUGAUUUCUCUUUCUGCUACUUCAUUAUUGGUAUAUAGAAAUGCAACUGAUUUCUGUGCAUUGAUUUUAUAUCCUCUGAUUUUGCUGAGUUCAUGCAUUGGUUCUAGCAGUGUUUUGGUGGAAUCUUUUGGGUUUUCUGUACAGAGUAUCAUGUCGUCUGCAAAGAGUGAAAAUUUGACUUCCUCCUUGCCGAUUUGGAUGCCUUUUAUUUCUUUGUGUUGUCUUGAUUGCUGAGGCAAGGACUUCCAAUACUAUGUUGAAUAACAGUGGCGAGAGUGGACAUCGCUGUCGUGUUCCUGACCUUAGAGGGAAAGCUCUCAGUUUUUCUCCAUUGAGGAUGAUAUUAGCGAUGAGUCUUUUGAAUAUGGCUUUUAUGAUCUUGAGGUAUGAUCUUUCUAUCCCUACUUUCUUGAGGAUUUUUAUCAAGAAAGGAUACUGAAUUUUGUGAAAUGCUCUCUCUGCAUCUAUUGAGAGGAUCAUGUGGUUCUUGUCCUUCCUUUUAUUAAUAUGAUGUAUCACAUUGAUUGAUUUGCAGAUAUUGAACCAGUUCUGCAUCCCAGCUAUAAAUCCCACUUGGUCAUGAUGAAUAAUUCUUUUAAUGUGUUGUUGGAUCCAGUUGACUCAUAUCUUGUUGAGAAUUUUUGCAUCCUGUACUUGGUAUUUUUAAGCUUCAUGGAACAUAUUGUUUAAUCCUCAACUUUUCUCUUAAACUUGUGCUGUUUCCUUUAAUGUGUUCUUAAGACCUAAUGAGAUAACCUUAGAUGCCUAAAUAUAAUGGAUAUGAGUGGCUUAGAGAGAUUCUCUUUUCAUUUGUGUAACAGAAACAAUUUGACAUAGUAUUGUUAUGGAUAUCAUGGAAGAACAACUUGUUUAUGAAAUGUGUUUUUAUGUAUUCCCUCUAGAAUACAUAUAAUAAUGAUAAAUCUGUCAUUAUUUGACAUCUCUCUGCAGGAAACCUAAAGUGGGCAUAAUGUCCUGGAUAUAAAGAUAGGUUUAAAUGCCUUGAGUGGGUUAAUCCGUCUGUUUUCUUAGUUACAUUAUCUUAAGCAAAAAAUGUGGAGAUGAAUGCAAAUCUUUCCUAUAGUCAUGGUAUUUGCAGAGGGAAUGGUAUUUAUUUAUUUAUUUCAUAAUUGAGUUUUUAUUUGUUGUUCCGAGGAUCACUACAGACAAUUCAAUUUGUACAUAAUUCUUAACGUACGUACCGAAAACCUAAAAAAACCAUGUAGCUGUGGUUCUUUUCUCAAAGUUAUUCCAGUGACCUUCCAGCUUAAAAUUUGGAGGCAAAUUUCCCUUAACAGUAUAUCAAGUACCGGUAUCUUCAAAUGUUGAUAUGCUGUUACAUAUCACAUUAGUUCACAAUUUAAUGUCAUAUACGCUACAUACUCAAAUUUUCAAUCUUGCACAGCACAUUAACAAAGUUACUAGGAAACUGGACUACCACGAGGAAUGGUAUUUAUUUAUGGGUUUGGUUGUGUGAAUGUUAAGUGCCCUCAGAAGAUGGAAUACUGAGCUUUAGGAAAUGCUAAGAUUGAAAUUUUUUACUUUAGUAACUCCAUUUCACUUGGCUAGAAGUGGGGCUAAACAAAUCUUGUGUACCUUUUGUCCUUCAGAAUGUGUUUAGAAUUCUGUUAUCUAAGGAAGUGGUGGAAAAGUGAAACACUAGACAUGUAAACUUUUGACUCUAAUUGCCGUGAUAUUUAUGUGUAUGUACGUGUAUGCACACCCACUUUUUAACUUCCAUAGUUUAAAAAUAUAUGCAUGUAUGAUUUUUUCCCUGUGACUUUAUAAUUUAUAAUUUUCUGGGUAGAAAUAAUGCCUUACUUUACAGUUUGCCAUAGUAUUUUGGUAUAGUAUUCCUAUCUGGUAGGAGUCCGUAAAUAAUGAUAAUAACAUUUUUUGAACACUUAACCAAGUGUCAGUGUUCUUAGUGCUUUUGAGUAAUUCAUGUGAUCUUUACAACCCUAUGAGGUUGUAUUAUUAUUUUCAUAAUUCAGAUCAGGUAAUAAAAUUCAAGUAAUUAACUUGCCCAAGGUUAUAUAACUAGUAAGAGGUAGCACUGGGUUUCAAAUCAGAUGGUCUGAUUCUACAGCCUACGUUGUUAACACUCCUCUUAUUAAUGAUAGCGGUACAUUAUCCAUUUAGACUGGUGCAGGGCCUCAAUUGAUUAUCUAGUAUAAAGACCUCAUUCUGCCUUAAAAUUUAAAAUAAGAUGACUUCAAGCUUUCCAUGUUUCUUAAAAGUAUUUAUAUUGAACUUGUGUCAUAGACUUAAAUAUGUUUUCUAAGUACAUAGCCUGGAAGAUAUUUUUGUUGGUGAAAAUGAACACUGGGCCAUAAGUAAUUAAAUGAACACAAAAAUUGAUACUGAUUGUAGGGGCACUUUUACCAUUAGCUGAAAGUUUUUUUGGUAGUAGUAACUUUUUUUUUCUGGCUUAGACGAUCAGUAAUCUUGACUAGAUAUAAAAUGCCAUUUUCAGAGUAAGAUUCAUGUUUGCAAAUGGCUGUUAGCUGUUGAUUCUGUUAGAUUAGCUGGGGCAAUCUUGAUUUGGCUUUUACUUUACAUUUCAAAAUUAUUAUCAGUAAAGUACUGAUAUGAAGUAAGUUUAAACUUUUAAAAGUAUGUUAGUACAUGUUUUCUUUAUUUUUAGUGUGUAGAUUAUUUUAAGGACAAUUUGAAAUUCAGAUUUUUCUGGUUAGGUUUAUGGCCAUCUUUUCAUAUUUUAAAAUAAAUAGACUCAGCUUUUUCAAAAGUUGCAGAUUAUACCUUGGAUGCUUUAAUGACCUUUCCUAGGAUGAAAAUCCUAUUAUGUCUCUCUCUAUCCCUCAAAUAAAAGUUCUUGUUUUUAACAGUUUGACUGCUAACCAGUUUUAAAAUGUCUUUCAUUAGGCUCAGGAAACACUAAGCUCUUAGUAUGGGUUCUGUUUACUCUGUUGGACACUCAGUUUUCUUAUGUUCUUUCAUUAGAAAUAAUUGCUCUCUAGGAAGAUUCAUUGGACCAGAAGUAUAAAAGACUGAGUAGCCUAAGAUGUUAUUUUUUUCCAGAGGGAUUUUGCUUUGAAUAGGAAUCUAAAUUGUAAUUGUUUUUUAUCUUUAUAAUUCUUAGCUUUGUCUUAUGCAUUUACAUAUUAGGAACUUGAUAAAAACGUAUUAACUGAAACCUCGAAGAGAGAAAUUUGCCAUCUUUAAGCAAAUGAAAAAAUUGUAGUUUUUGAACAGGGGCCUUUUCUAGAACCUUGUAUGUCAUGUAAGCCACCAGCUACUCUGUCUAGGCUGGCUGUGAAGAAUGAGCGAUAAUUGUAUUGCUCAUACACUAUAAAGGUGAGCAGUAGGAGACGAUUGCAAAAUCAUCAGUCAUCCAAAAAUAAUUUGUACUGGCUUUAGAGUAUAUUGCUUUAUAUAUAAUUUGGAAAUGAAUGUGUAAGAUUUUAUGGUUUUCAGCAAGUUAAAGGCCUUGCUGUGAAGAUUUAAUGAUAGCUAGAAAGUUGUCCUGUUUCUCACUUCUCUUUUCCCCGCUGUUUUCUGGUCUUCAUUCUAUACCAGAGAUAGAUAGAAUUAACCUCUCAGAUUUGUAAAACAUGAUCCUAGAGCAAAAAUUUUUCUUUAUACUAAUGUUCUCUGCUAAUAUCUAGGGAGUGGUAGACAUUUUGUUUAGUUGUUGCUGGAUGCGAUCAUGAAUAUAGGCCAGUAAACAUAAUACUUAAGAACAGCCGGUAUAGCAGUACUAAUAGAAAACCAGAGGCAAGGUAUCAAUGAGUAAAUUAAAAUACAGUUUGAUUGCUUUCAUAUAAUCAGUCUGUUAUUAAGUUUGUAUGGGCUCAUUGAUCGAUACAUUCUCAUAAUAAGACAUGCAUCUUUUAAAUUUCAGUUUUUAAGGUGAAUGACUAUUCAGUGUUGUAACAUAACUCUUAAAUUUAUAUUUUUCCCAUUAGCUUGCUUUUUCACUUUUUUAGAGAAGAAACUCGAGUAAUUUCCUUAUAUAAUUUUACCCCAUGCUUCUCCCUACACAUACCUUUGAAAUAGCAAAUCACUUUUGGUGGCUUCUUCUCUAAGUAGAUUGAUUGAUUGAUUGUCUUGUUCUAAGCAGGGCAGAUAGAGGUUAAAUGAAAGGAAUGAAAGGAAAUUAAAGCUGUUGUGUGUAGCUGAGGUAGGGGGACUGAAGAGUUCACAUUACCGCUUAGCUUUUUCAUUCAUUCCCAUCAUACCACACCCCUCCCUUCCCUUCCCAUCCUUCUUCUUUCUCCCUAAUAUUGUUUUUUAAAGACAUAAAAUAGGACUAGGAAGGAAACCAGUUAUAUUGAGUUAUAGUUAUGAAAAUAUUAAGAUAAUUUCUAAUUGCUAAUUUCUAAAAUAAAUUUCUAAUUUCUAAAUUUCACAUGCUUCUUACUGCAUUUAAAUAAGACAUUUAAAAUACAGGUAAGUUAAAAUUCAUUUAGUAAAAUGGCCUUUUGCGUAACUUAAAUAAAAGCAUUAAACCAUGAUGUGGUCUUUUACUUAACGUUCACAUGUUGAUCAGCAAACGGAGAAAGGGAAUAUUGGAAAGCACCAGUGGGUCACCACUGAGACUUCACUGUUUGCUGGAUGAACAACAAGGCUCAAAGUUGUCUAAUAGUUGGCCAGUUAUGUCAUACGAACUUUUGGAUUGUAGACAGAAGGACUGAGGUUACAUGUGUAGUACAUGUGUUUAGUAAUUAAUGUAAUUUUGUAACUAUUAUAUAACUAUUGUAAUUUUGAAGUCGUGGUGACUAUAAAAGAAAUUUUGAGGUACUGCAAUGACUAUAAUGUAAUAGAAAAGAUCUCUGAUUUCUCUGGCAUGUGAGGUCACAGAUUUGGGUCUGUUGUUUGCAUUCAUAAUGGAAGGAAAUGCUAAUUUACAGGUAGCAUUUAGUGAAAAUAAAGAUGAGAAUAUUUUCCCACAUUAAAUUUUGUAGAUUCCAUAAAUGCAAGGGAUCUGUGGCCCUCAGAGUUGUAAAUAGAUAAGAUUCUAGCCACUUGUCCCUCCCU
Molecule: long non-coding RNA, 6905 nt
Organism: Acinonyx jubatus (cheetah)
Lineage: Eukaryota; Metazoa; Chordata; Mammalia; Carnivora; Felidae
Exons: 2
Source: RefSeq, a predicted model, not a curated record